GGGCGGUUAACUCAGCGGUAGAGUGCCACCUUCACACGGUGGAAGUCACUGGUUCGAUCCCAGUACCGCCCA
This is a non-coding RNA of Betaproteobacteria bacterium CG2_30_68_42, 72 nucleotides long. Lineage: Bacteria; Pseudomonadati; Pseudomonadota; Betaproteobacteria. The record is from Rfam.